CAAGAACGAGGAAAUGCCGAGAAAAGGCUGCCCCCAACAAAACUGGAAAACCAGCCAGCACAGGCUCUCAAGAGAACACGAAACCACCGGAUCGCUGUGCCCUGACGGACACCAGCUGGAAUGUAUUCACCCGAAUAAAGAAAACACGUCACUCAGGAGAGGCGGCCGUCAGCCCUGGAAGGACAGCAGAACAGGAAAAGGAAAACCGAGGCGACAGUCAGCAGCGCCCACCCAACACAGUGCGAGGCAUGGGGUCGGCCUGGGUAUCGUGCACCCCCAGACCUGAUGACGAUACUGCGGUGGGGGGAGGGCGGGCGACAGCACGUAGGGGCUGAGGCAUCGGGUGCCCUGGGCCUGGCGCUGCCAGCCACGAGUGCCGCGCCUUGCCGCCCUGCAGCCGGGCGCGUCCUGCCUGCCUGCCUGCCCGGGCCUGUCGGCGCGUCCCUCCCCUCUCGCGCCAGACUAGUUCAUGACUCAGGACUCCGUCUGAGCGCUCCGAGACCAGGCUCCCUGGGAACCGGAAGGACACAGCCCAGGGCGGGAGCAGCAGGAGAGCAGGGCCCCAGUGCGCGCAUGGACUGACGCGCCUCCGCGCCUCCCUGUGGCCUGCGGUGCCUCUGAGCGCCAGGCUGCCCGGGCCUGGUCCCCCAGGUCUCAGUGAGAGAGGGUCUGGGCCUCGGCGGCCGAGGCGGGAAGCACCUGGGCUUCCUGGCGGGGACGCCCCCAUCCUGUGCUUCCAUCCCCAGCUUUUUCAUUCUGUCAACUGAUUUCUACCCAAGAAAGUCCACUCGACGACGCUGCCGCCACUGAAUCAGCCUGGAGCCGGAGAUGAGCCAGCUGCGGCCGAUUUGUCACAGAAUGACAGCUUAUUCUCAGUAUCCUUUAUUGGCAGUGGAAAACGCCUCAGUACUUUAUUGAAAGAAAGCAAUAAAUAAUACUGUGAUAAAAAUAGUUCAAAAGGAGACUGUACAUACUUUGUUACAUAAUCAGGAAGUUCACAAAAGAUUAACAGAAAACAGAGUGUAACAACAAAUCGUACAAGGAAGUUAAAAGCAGAAACCGAAUGUAAAGAGACACGCCGUCCACCGACAAAAUGAGCUGUAUAAUAAAUAACGCACCGUGGUCGGAACACAUUUCCUGCUGGCUCUUUAAUGUGCCAUUUAAAAAGGAAAAGUUACAUCUGCUACUUAGACAGUCCAAAACGGCUAUAUCGUCAAAAGCUAAAAAUGUACCACUAGGUCCCUCCUUUCAGCAUGUUUACAAACAAAUGUAAAAGGAUGAUUUACAUAAGAAAAAAUAAGGCCUUUAGUAGAGUCGCACUGCGUGGUUUCCUGGUUUCCGGGAGCCCCCGCCUUCCUCUUCCCGCACCAGCGUCCCUGCAGAGCGCGGUGCUUCCUGCUUGGUCCUCAAAGAGCAGCGGGGCGGGGGCCCGCGUCCGCCCGUAGGGGUAGAGCCCAGAGAGCCCCCCAGCCCUUCCUGCGGCCGAGAGAAGUGCUCCCGGCUGGGGCUCGUGCCGGGCGCUGAGGACAAGCCGUGCGGGUCCCCAGGGACGAGCUCUGCAAGCUACUGAGAGCCACCAGAGAUGCUCACAGUUCUGACGGCCCCUUCAGCCCAAAUUUUAUCAGAAGCUCAUAUUUAACGCCAGGUACUUUCAGUCUGUUCACGCUGCAGAAUAAAGCAUUUCUUGCUAGAAAAAGUAGAGUAAGGUCAGUCAUUAAAACACAAUUGCUUGAAAUUAAGUCUGCUUGUUUCAAAAUGAUUGUUGUAGAGCUGGUUACAUUUGUCAGGAUAACGCGCACCAUGUCAUGAUGAUCUUACAAAUGCAAAUGCAGUAAAAUCCUCUUCUCUCUCGCCGAUUAUUAUUAAAAAAUUAAUGAUAAUUACAAUAAAUGCAUAAUUUACAAAAGCCCUAUAUCUUUUCAUAGGAUUUAUACAUACAAGCAUUACAGUACAUUUGUUUGAAAGACUAAAAUUAGAUAUAAGAACAGAAUCGAUUUGAAAGGAUAUUUAUAGCCUGGAUAUGAAAAAGUAAGUAACUAUAUAAACGAAGUCAUAUGUUUACAUAAAUAUAAGAAACAUUAAAUUCUAAAAUAUUUUCUCUAUGGUAUUCGUGAAUUUUCACUAAUUAAAAACUCUGUAAUAAAUAUCUUAGGGUCCAUAUAACAAGUAUCAACAGAUUGUAGAUCCACUGAAUUCUGAAAGGCCGUCUUCGCCGGGUCCCGAGCGCUGCACGGUCAUCUGUAGAAGUAGUGUGGGUAAACUGGAAAGGAAGCACAAACAGGACAAUCAGCCUCAGGACGGGCCGCCCGGCGCGCACCUGCGUCCUGAGGCCCAGCCCUGCCUCCCUGCCCCGUGCGCUGUAGCUGCUUGAGAACUGAGAUGAAACGUCAAGGAGUACGCGUAUCAAUGAGAAAAUUCCUUGCUGACUUCCUUUUGGCGUAUGUCUAAAAGUUACCAAUUAAAAAGAUUAGGAAACCAAUCAAACCUUCUGGCGGAGACGUGAAAAGUGGAGAGCGGAACAGAGCCCCCGGCCCUGGCGCCACGAGCAGGGGCUGGGCUCCCAGCCCCACGUCACCCCUUCAGCGCGAGCGGGCUGCUCGUAACUGCACCCCUGCGAUGGCAACGCAGCUGUGUGUUUAAAACCACCCGCCAGGCCCUCAGGGUCGCACGACAGCGUGGCCCCAGGAAACCUGGCCGUGCGGGGUGCGGCUCAUUCAAGACCGUGUAUUUCUAAGAAAGCCAGUGGGCGCCGCUGACCUGGGAGCGACACCAGCGCGGAUGCCAGGGUCAAGGCGGAGAGCCGCCGUGCCGGGCGCUCUCAACCACGGGUGGUCGCCAGCCAAGAGCUGAGCCGGUGAGCUCCUGCCACGCGCUGCUCUCCUGCCUCCCCACCCCCAAAAGACAUUAGCAGAUACUGAAAAGAGUCCAGCACUUUCAGUUUUAAGGAAAAAAUGCAAAUACACUUUUUUCCUUAACAAAUGAGGAUACACGAACCCCUCUGUGACCAACUGUGAGCAUACAGAACACCAGAACCACGUAACGGGUGCAGCCGGGCUUGCGUGCGU
Molecule: long non-coding RNA, 3065 nt
Organism: Equus caballus (horse)
Lineage: Eukaryota; Metazoa; Chordata; Mammalia; Perissodactyla; Equidae
Source: Ensembl